This 64-nucleotide transfer RNA is filed under the name Tychus niger. RNAcentral's name for it is "tRNA-His". Lineage: Eukaryota; Metazoa; Arthropoda; Insecta; Coleoptera; Staphylinidae. The record is from RNAcentral.
ACUUAUAUAAUUUAAUAAAAAUAUUAAUUUGUGGGAUUAAAAAUAUGAUUUAUCAUUUUAAGUA